Molecule: long non-coding RNA, 527 nt
Filed under: Hordeum vulgare
Lineage: Eukaryota; Viridiplantae; Streptophyta; Magnoliopsida; Poales; Poaceae
Description: long non-coding RNA (HVUL_LNC009229)
Source: RNAcentral
GUAUAUUUAGAAAAUAUAUGUAGGUCUUCUAAUUUGUAAUUGAUUCGGAAAAUGUCAAUUAAGUUGUUUAAUUAAUUUUAGCUGCUUCGAUAGAUUUGGAAAAUAUAUUUAGGUCUUUUAAUUUUUAGUUGAUUCGGAAAAUGUCAGUUAAGUUGUUUAAUUAUUUUUAGCUGCUCCGGUAGAUUUGGGAAAUUUAUUUAGGUCUUUUAAUUUUUUGUUGAUUCGAAAAGAAAAAAAAUAGGUUUGUCAUUCUUCUAAAAUUUGUCGUUGUUGAAUAAUUUUUUAGGUCAACAGAAAUGUCUGAUUUAGUGAAGUUAGAUUUUCACUAUGGUCCUGGUACUGUUCAAACAAAUGAGAUGUGAGCUGAUCUUAGUGAAUUUCAGUACAUUGAGGCGCCAGUGACUUCCCCUGAAACAUAGUCUGUUAGUCAGUUGACAGUUAGUCAGUUGACAGAAUGGCUGGCCGGAUGUUUAGGGUUUAAUAUUGAAGCACACACCAUCGGUGUUCAUGCAUUAUGGACUCGGUCC